GACGAACGCUGGCGGCGUGCUUAACACAUGUAAGUCGAACGGAAAGGCCCUGCUUGCAGGGUACUCGAGUGGCGAACGGGUGAGUAACACGUGGGUGAUCUGCCCUGCACUUCGGGAUAAGCCUGGGAAACUGGGUCUAAUACCGGAUAGGAGCCAUUUUUAGUGUGAUGGUUGGAAAGUUUUUUCGGUGUAGGAUGAGCUCGCGGCCUAUCAGCUUGUUGGUGGGGUAAUGGCCUACCAAGGCGGCGACGGGUAGUCGGCCUGAGAGGGUGGACGGCCACAUUGGGACUGAGAUACGGCCCAGACUCCUACGGGAGGCAGCGGUGGGGAAUAUUGCACAAUGGGCGCAAGCCUGAUGCAGCGACGCCGCGUGGGGGAUGACGGCCUUCGGGUUGUAAACUCCUUUCGCUAGGGACGAAGCUUUUUGUGACGGUACCUAGAUAAGAAGCACCGGCUAACUACGUG
Molecule: ribosomal RNA, 465 nt
Filed under: uncultured bacterium
Lineage: Bacteria
Description: partial 16S ribosomal RNA
Rfam family: Bacterial small subunit ribosomal RNA
Source: RNAcentral